This 339-nucleotide ribosomal RNA is filed under the name Triticum aestivum (bread wheat). RNAcentral describes it as "partial small subunit ribosomal RNA". Lineage: Eukaryota; Viridiplantae; Streptophyta; Magnoliopsida; Poales; Poaceae. The record is from RNAcentral.
AUGAAGUCAGGUUCUUCUAUGGCUCCAGUACAUGGGUAUGGGUGCGAGGUGAGCAGGAGUAUACACGCAUUAAGCCUUGCCAAGGAACCCCUUUGGAAGGUGACGAUCGACCGUCAGACAGUCGUGAAGCAGCAGCAGCAGCAGCUAGCGCAGCAUAUGACACCUCUGCACUAUUGUAGGCAAUCACGGACAUGGACCUUUUCGAAAAAAAAUCACGGACAUGGAAGGUUCACUAGAAUCAAGUCAUGUGAGGAACUAAGCUUCCACUCACCUAUUUCUUCUUGCAAAUUCAGAAAUGGGAGUUUGGGUUAUCCUAUUUCCUUAUUCUAUAAUCCUUAA